AAUGAACGCUGGCGGCAGGCCUAACACAUGCAAGUCGAACGGAUCCCUCGGGAUUAGUGGCGGACGGGUGAGUAACGCGUGGGAACAUACCCUUUGGUACGGAAUAGCCUCGGGAAACUGGGAGUAAUACCGUAUGUGGUCGAGAGACGAAAGAUUUAUCGCCAAAGGAUUGGCCCGCGUUGGAUUAGGUAGUUGGUGGGGUAAUGGCCUACCAAGCCGACGAUCCAUAGCUGGUUUGAGAGGAUGAUCAGCCACACUGGGACUGAGACACGGCCAGACUCCUACGGGAGGCAGCAGUGGGGAAUCUUAGACAAUGGGGGAAACCCUGAUCUAGCCAUGCCGCGUGAUCGAUGAAGGCCUUAGGGUUGUAAAGAUCUUUCAGGUGGGAAGAUAAUGACUGUACCACCAGAAGAAGCCCCGGCUAACUCCGUGCCAGCCGCCGCCGUAA
RNAcentral lists this ribosomal RNA (448 nucleotides) under uncultured bacterium. Its description in RNAcentral is "partial 16S ribosomal RNA". It matches the Rfam family "Bacterial small subunit ribosomal RNA", at positions 29 to 523 of the family's 1533-position model. The record is from RNAcentral.